Molecule: long non-coding RNA, 144 nt
Organism: Rhagoletis zephyria (snowberry fruit fly)
Lineage: Eukaryota; Metazoa; Arthropoda; Insecta; Diptera; Tephritidae
Source: RefSeq, a predicted model, not a curated record
UUGCAAAUUUACUUCAAAUUUAUAUCGACCCCUUUGCCCAAAUUAUCGUAUGUUACAUUUUUUACGAAAUUGACUUUUUGAUGCAACUUUGUUUUACAACCAUUACAACCAUAACGCAACACCUGUUCAAAUAUUACGGCUUAA